UCUCAGUUGUUGAUUAAUGGUCACACAGGACAUGCAGGUAAACAAAUAAAAAUAUUUUGUCUUUUUAGUAAAUGUUAUUUUUGUUGAUUGAUGUUAU
Sinocyclocheilus anshuiensis is the source of this 97-nucleotide long non-coding RNA. RefSeq lists it as uncharacterized. The record is from RefSeq and is a predicted model, not a curated record. The transcript has 3 exons. NCBI's taxonomy places the organism in Eukaryota, Metazoa, Chordata, Actinopteri, Cypriniformes, Cyprinidae.